GUGCCAGCAGCCGCGGUAAUACGGAGGAUCCAAGCGUUAUCCGGAUUUAUUGGGUUUAAAGGGUGCGUAGGCGGCCCGUUAAGUCAGGGGUGAAAGACGGUAGCUCAGCUAUCGCAGUGCCCUUGAUACUGACGGGCUUGAAUAGACUAGAGGUGGGCGGAAUGUGACAAGUAGCGGUGAAAUGCAUAGAUAUGUCACAGAACACCGAUUGCGAAGGCAGCUCACUAUGGUCUGAUUGACGCUGAGGCACGAAAGCGUGGGGAUCAAACAGGAUUAGAUACCCUGGUAGUCC
Molecule: ribosomal RNA, 292 nt
Filed under: uncultured bacterium
Lineage: Bacteria
Description: partial 16S ribosomal RNA
Rfam family: Bacterial small subunit ribosomal RNA
Source: RNAcentral